Molecule: long non-coding RNA, 390 nt
Filed under: Homo sapiens (human)
Lineage: Eukaryota; Metazoa; Chordata; Mammalia; Primates; Hominidae
Description: HSALNT0096971
Source: RNAcentral
CCUCAGAGUUCUGGCCACUCUUGUAUAGCUCAGGCAAUGCCAGGAGUGUUUCUGCAGAGAUGUCUUUGUCAAGGACUCCAAAGACAAGAGGAGGCAAGGAGGUAAAGAAGAGAUUGAAGAAUAUCAUCUGCCAGUAAUCAAUCAUGGUGGAGCUGGAGAAACCACAGAAGAACUGAUACCAGAAGAGCAGGUUGACGUAGCACUGCAGGCAGAGAGCAUGGCCUUGUGAGUGGACAUCCCAUACCUACAGCUCCAAUAAGGCACAUGAGGAUGAGGAUCCCAAUGCAGAAGAAGAUGUCUAUAUUCAUGCGCCGCUCAAUCUUGCUGCGUUUGUACCGGGGGCCACUGUUGUUCAGCAUGGCUUUCGUCUCAUGGCCUUUGAGAGAAAAU